This 358-nucleotide ribosomal RNA is filed under the name uncultured bacterium. RNAcentral's name for it is "bacterial SSU rRNA". It matches the Rfam family "Bacterial small subunit ribosomal RNA", at positions 28 to 351 of the family's 1533-position model. The record is from RNAcentral.
GACGAACGCUGGCGGCGUGCCUAAUACAUGCAAGUCGAACGCACUCUCGUUUAGAUUGAAGGAGCUUGCUCCUGAUUGAUAAACAUUUGAGUGAGUGGCGGACGGGUGAGUAACACGUGGGUAACCUGCCCUAAAGUGGGGGAUAACAUUUGGAAACAGAUGCUAAUACCGCAUAAAACCUAAACACCGCAUGGUGUAGGGUUGAAAGAUGGUUUCGGCUAUCACUUUAGGAUGGACCCGCGGUGCAUUAGUUAGUGGUGAGGUAAAGGCUCACCAAGACCGUGAAUGCAUAGCCGACCUGAGAGGGUAAUCGGCCACACUGGGACUGAGACACGGCCCAGACUCCUACGGGAGGCAG